UGGGGAAUUUUGGACAAUGGGCGAAAGCCUGAUCCAGCAAUGCCGCGUGUGUGAAGAAGGCCUUCGGGUUGUAAAGCACUUUUGUCCGGAAAGAAAUCCUUGGCUCUAAUACAGUCGGGGGAUGACGGUACCGGAAGAAUAAGCACCGGCUAACUACGUGCCAGCAGCCGCGGUAAUACGUAGGGUGCAAGCGUUAAUCGGAAUUACUGGGCGUAAAGCGUGCGCAGGCGGUUUGCUAAGACCGAUGUGAAAUCCCGGGCUCAACCUGGGAACUGCAUUGGUGACUGGCAGGCUAGAGUAUGGCAGAGGGGGGUAGAAUUCCACGUGUAGCAGUGAAAUGCGUAGAGAUGUGGAGGAAUACCGAUGGCGAAGGCAGCCCCCAUGGGCCAAUACUGACGCUCAUGCACGAAAGCGUGGGGGAGCAAACAGGAUUAGAUACCCUGGUAGUCCACGCCCUAAACGAUGUCAACUAGUUGUUGGGGG
This 483-nucleotide ribosomal RNA is filed under the name uncultured bacterium. RNAcentral describes it as "partial 16S ribosomal RNA". It matches the Rfam family "Bacterial small subunit ribosomal RNA", at positions 355 to 829 of the family's 1533-position model. The record is from RNAcentral.